Molecule: ribosomal RNA, 324 nt
Filed under: uncultured eukaryote
Lineage: Eukaryota
Description: partial 18S ribosomal RNA
Rfam family: Eukaryotic small subunit ribosomal RNA
Source: RNAcentral
CCCUUAGAUGUUCUGGGCCGCACGCGCGCUACACUGGCGAAUUCAGCAAGUCUAUCCUAGGCCGGAAGGUCUGGGUAAUCUUCGAAAAUUCGUCGUGAUGGGGAUAGAGCACUGCAACGUGCUCUUCAACGAGGAAUGCCUAGUAAGCGCGAGUCAUCAGCUCGCACUGAUUACGUCCCUGCCCUUUGUACACACCGCCCGUCGCUCCUACCGAUCGAAUGAUCCGGUGAAGUUUUCGGACUAUCGCUGCGCGAGGGGUUUCCCGAGUGCAGUGAUGGGAAGUUACCUAAACCUUAUCAUUUAGAGGAAGGAGAAGUCGUAACA